GGACAUGUUUGGACAAAAUAGUUUACUGGCUUGUGUCGUCUGGAUGUCCAAGGUUGGAUUAUGGCCGUUUUUUGUGGAAUAUUUUCAUCUGUGUGUAUUAAUGAACCCGGAAAUGUGAGUCGCGCUGUGUGCUUUGAAGCCGUGUACAGAGAACGGAUGGAUGGAUGUUCGUUUUUGUCGGACAAAUGUGUUUUUCUCACCCGCUGUGGUAAUCGCAUCUGAAAGUGGUUUAUACCGGCGGAUUCAUGAGAAUCUAAGAUUUCCAUCGGCGUAUAAUGUUUAUAUAAUCGCGUUUGCAGCCUUUGGACAUUCUUUAAAUUCCUAUGCAAAUUCGUAAGUGUACUGCCGGUGGUACACUGAAGUUUAACGGGUUAAAAAUGCUCGAGUUUGCAGCGCAAACUCCCAGCGCAAACUAAAUACUCCCAGUCCCGCUUGACUUCUCGCUCAGCUUUUGCCUCCAGCAUAAGCCCCGCCCACAAAAAACGUCACAAUGUUUGUAAACAAAUAAAGGGUCUAUAUUCACAUUUUAUAAAUCUCUUUAUAGCUCUAAACUCUCUACUCAAGAAACUGAUCUUUUUUAUAUUUGAUAAAUACCUGGGCCUCCAAAAUAGAUGAGGAUUUCAAAACCCUGACUGAAGCUGAAAUCUCUAACAGAGUUGGACACUGCUAUUUCACAGAUGCCCAGCGGACAGUCACCAGGCCCAGACGGCCUCACAACUGAGUUUUUCAAACAUUUCUGGCCUGAUAUUCGAGAUCUGAUCCAUGAUGCCUUUAAAGAAUGCUUAGGCAAUCAAUCAGUUGCCUUGUAGGAGUCGAGACAGCUGCAGGACAUUCCACUAAUCAUCUGCCUCCGCUAUAAAAGACUGGUUCACACUCCCAUUCUCUGCCAGAACCGGCUGUCCUGACUCCUGCCUGCCGAGCUCUGCCUGUUUCCCCCGUUGAAUCCUCCAGACACCGUGAGACCCUCCGAAUCCCCUCCUGGACCCCUUCCUUCUGGUGCCCCCCCGGAGAACUCCUGCCUCUGAUCAGCCGGCUCGGUCCGUUUCCCCGCCUGGAUCGCCUGCAUUCGUCAUCACCGUCCCUUCGGCGCCGUCCCUCCCGGAUCUCCAUCCCCAGUCACGCUCCAUCGCCGCCAGGGAUCCAAGCGCUAACUGCAGCCACACUCUGCUCCCUCCACCGGACCAACGACGGCCGCCGAUCCCCGGCUCACCCUCCCCGGAACCGGACUAAUAUCCAGGUGCACUCCCAGCUCACCUCGGACCCACCUGCCCACUCAGGGCCGGCCGCUGGCAUAAACACUCUAUGCCGUUGUUUAUAGCCACAUCCACUAGAGGGGGCCACACCACAAUAAGUGUGCGAUUCGCUUUUUGUCCCCGUCUUUAUUCCAAUAAAACAUAAAUCUGUUAAUGCUGUUAAUCAUGUGCAUGUGUGUUUUAACCCAAUUACAAGCUGUGCACAUGAUUUGGUAGUUGCCCUGUGCAUGUUUUGGGGCCACAAAAAAAAAAAAAAAUCGUACUUAGGAUCACCAAAGUCCGAGGGCCGGCCCUGUGCCCACUAACCACACUGGUUUUACAAUAAAUCUCCUUAAUCUUC
Acanthochromis polyacanthus (spiny chromis) is the source of this 1593-nucleotide long non-coding RNA. RefSeq lists it as uncharacterized. The record is from RefSeq and is a predicted model, not a curated record. Lineage: Eukaryota; Metazoa; Chordata; Actinopteri; Pomacentridae. The transcript is spliced from 3 exons.